RNAcentral lists this long non-coding RNA (794 nucleotides) under Homo sapiens (human). The record is from RNAcentral. Lineage: Eukaryota; Metazoa; Chordata; Mammalia; Primates; Hominidae.
ACUAGGCGAAAAGGAGAGACGGGAAGUAUUUUUUCCGCCCCGCCCGGAAAGGGUGGAGCACAACGUCGAAAGCAGCCGUUGGGAGCCCAGGAGGCGGGGCGCCUGUGGGAGCCGUGGAGGGAACUUUCCCAGUCCCCGAGGCGGAUCCGGUGUUGCAUCCUUGGAGCGAGCUGAGAGCUCGAGAACCUGCUAAGGCCAUCAAACCUAUUGAUCGGAAGUCAGUCCAUCAGAUUUGCUCUGGGCCGGUGGUACCGAGUCUAAGCACUGCGGUGAAGGAGUUAGUAGAAAACAGUCUGGAUGCUGGUGCCACUAAUAUUGAUCUAAAGCUUAAGGACUAUGGAGUGGAUCUCAUUGAAGUUUCAGGCAAUGGAUGUGGGGUAGAAGAAGAAAACUUCGAAGGCUUAACUCUGAAACAUCACACAUCUAAGAUUCAAGAGUUUGCCGACCUACCUCAGGUUGAAACUUUUGGCUUUCGGGGGGAAGCUCUGAGCUCACUUUGUGCACUGAGGUGAUAAAAUAUUUUUAUCCAUUCACUUGACCCCUUAGAAAAACCUCUCUGAAAAUUAAUUGGAAUCAUUAUUAUUUACAGUUUUCUGUCUCAAUAUCUCAGCUUCCAGCUUCUGAAUUCUGUUUUGUCUCACUGCCAAUCUAAGUCCUAGUACUUCUGAAAUGUGAGCAAUAAAUGAAUGAAAUGAAGCAAAUAGUAUUGUUAAAAAAAUUGGUUACCCUUAUUAAAACAGUAACUUCUCAAUUUGAACAUAACAUAUAGAUAAUAAAUGAUAGUUACCAUUGGU